Molecule: ribosomal RNA, 463 nt
Filed under: uncultured bacterium
Lineage: Bacteria
Description: partial 16S ribosomal RNA
Rfam family: Bacterial small subunit ribosomal RNA
Source: RNAcentral
GACGAACGCUGGCGGCGUGCUUAACACAUGCAAGUCGAACGGAAAGGCCUUUUCGGAGGUACUCGAGUGGCGAACGGGUGAGUAACACGUGGGUGAUCUGCCCUGCACUCUGGGAUAAGCCUGGGAAACUGGGUCUAAUACCGGAUAGGACCGCACUUUAGUGUGUGUGGUGGAAAGUUUUUUCGGUGUAGGAUGAGCCCGCGGCCUAUCAGCUUGUUGGUGGGGUAAUGGCAUACCAAGGCGGCGACGGGUAGCCGGACUGAGAGGUUGGUCGGCCACAUUGGGACUGAGAUACGGCCCAGACUCCUACGGGAGGCAGCAGUGGGGAAUAUUGCACAAUGGGCGCAAGCCUGAUGCAGCGACGCCGCGUGGGGGAUGACGGCCUUCGGGUUGUAAACUCCUUUCGCCAGGGACGAAGCGUUUUGUGACGGUACCUGGAGAAGAAGCACCGGCUAACUACGUG